AAAGGGUGUGUAGGCGGGUAUUUAAGUCAGUGGUGAAAUCUCCGAGCUCAACUCGGAAACUGCCAUUGAUACUAUUUAUCUUGAAUAUUGUUGAGGUAGGCGGAAUAUGUCAUGUAGCGGUGAAAUGCUUAGAUAUGACAUAGAACACCGAUUGCGAAGGCAGCUUGCUAAACAAUUAUUGACGCUGAGGCACGAAAGCGUGGGGAUCAAACAGGAUUAGAUACCCCAGU
RNAcentral lists this ribosomal RNA (230 nucleotides) under uncultured bacterium. RNAcentral describes it as "partial 16S ribosomal RNA". It matches the Rfam family "Bacterial small subunit ribosomal RNA", at positions 562 to 791 of the family's 1533-position model. The record is from RNAcentral.